CAACCAUUAAUUCUUAAAUGUGUUAAGAUUAUUUGAUGUCAUGGUAAAAUGUUUAUGAAAUAUUACAUUUUAAAAGUGUAGUAUAGUAACCUACAAUGUGAUACCAAUUCUGUAAAACAGUAAAUGUAUUAAUGAAACACUCUAAGUAAAGGAAAAGUGAGUAGUUAUCGCUCUUUUUUAGUAUGUUUUAAUUGAUAUAUCAUGGUUAUAUAUAUUUUUGGGGUACAUGUGAUAUUUUGAUACAUGUAUACAACAUGUAAUGAUCAAGUCAGGGUAAUUGGGAUGUCUGUCACCUCAAACAUUUAUCUUUUUUUGUGUCAUGAACAUUAUAAUUCUUUCCUUGUAGUUGUUUUAAAAUAUACAAUAAAUUAUUAUUCAUUAUAAUUUUUUAAUUAAAUAUUUUUAAAAUUUUUAUUAUUUUUAUUUUUUUUAGAGACAGGAUCUUGCUGGUCACCCAGACUGGAGUGCAAUGGUGCAAUCAUAGUUCACUGCAGCCUCGAACUCUUGGGCUCAAGCAGUCCUCCUACCUCAGCCUCCAGAGUUGUUAUCUAUAAUUUUGAACAGUAGUUAUCUGUAACAGUGAGAAGCAAAGGUUUUCCUCAUUUCCUCUUUUACAGUUUCUGUAUUUUCCAUAAUUGAUACAUCAUCACAUAUUACAAUUAUGAUGAGAAAACAUGAUACAUAUUUUUAUUUGGAAAAUACAUAAAUAAAAACAAAAUCUAUGACCUCACCGUUCAGACUCAACAUCUCUUCCAUUUUGAUGUCAUGCGAUGUUUCUGACGGAGGUUUAAUUGAAAUGAAACAGCAUCAAUAAGCAUGGGCUCCACAGUCUUCCCACAUCGCUCUGAGUGCCCGGGGAGGGACUGGGGACUCCCCCCACACAUUAACCCACGAGGACCUCUCACAUGGACCUUUUUACAUUCUCUCUAAUCUUUCCCAAAGCCUUGCAAGGUGGGAGUAAUAUUAUUAUUCCCAUUUCAGAGAUGACAAAACUAAGAAACUCGUCCUCUGUGAGUUUCUGUGCUAUUAGGCUGUGUCUCAUGUCCCCGUACAAAGUAUCUUUGUAUGGGAGGCCUAAUGGUUAAGAGCAUGGACUUCUGUCCGACAGAAUUCAUUAAGUUCCAGGCCAGACACACUGCCGCUCUCUGGGAAUGUGUCCAUGGGCUAGGGGUGGCACUGAGCUUCCAUUCCAUUUCUUAUAAAAUAAUGACGACAAGAUCGUUUUCCUUAAAGGGUGGCUGUGAGCCUUCAAUUACACAGUGAUGAAAAGACCUUAGCACAGUGCUGGGCAACGGCUAGCUACUUCAGAGGCACAGCUGAGACUUGCACAGAGGUACCUGGCUGCAAAGUCCGGCUCCUCUACACUCUGCAGAGCUGUUUUCCCCCUUCAGAGCUCCUCUCCUCCGGGAGGGCUUGCCUCGCCCCGGUCCAGGAUCUCUGCCUUCGGUUGAAGCGCAGCGCCCCCAGCCGUCCGCAGGAGGGAUCGACGCCUCUGUCUCCCCGAAGUGAGGGCGCUCGCUGCGGAGCUGGGGGUGGUCUCCUCUUCCCCCCAUCGCGGCCCAGCAACCUGGGGGUCCGCGUGACUUCUCCCUGGCCGGGGGAUGGAGGAUGCGCUCUCCUCUGUCCCUUCAAGGCCUCUUCCUCGUCCCAGGUCGAGUCUCCUCCUUGCUGACCAGGCAUCGCGAGCAGAUGAAUCCUCUGGGCGGUUGUCCCUGUCAGGCUGUCAGGACCUGAUUUUCCCUGGUUCACUAAAGCACCAGAAGGUAUGAAGGCGGAGAGAGGAAACAGGGCAAUGGAAUGAACACUUCUCAAGAAUCUCUCAGGUGCCACGGACUGAGCCAGACCCCGCACCUGAUGAAUCAGCUGGCACCACCCAGAUUGAAAAACUGGCUCAUCUGAUCUUGUGGCCCCCUACCCAGGAACUGACUCAGCGCAAGAGGACAGCUUCGACUGCCUGUGACUUCAUCUCCAACCCAGCCAAUCAGCACUCCCAAAUCACUGCCCCCACCCACCAAAUUAUCCUUAAAAAUUCGGAUCCCCCUUGGGGAUACUGAUUUGAGUAAUAAUAAAACUCUGGUCUCCUGCAUGGCCAGC
RNAcentral lists this long non-coding RNA (2094 nucleotides) under Homo sapiens (human). RNAcentral describes it as "HSALNT0018648". The record is from RNAcentral. Lineage: Eukaryota; Metazoa; Chordata; Mammalia; Primates; Hominidae.